RNAcentral lists this ribosomal RNA (436 nucleotides) under uncultured bacterium. RNAcentral describes it as "bacterial SSU rRNA". It matches the Rfam family "Bacterial small subunit ribosomal RNA", at positions 954 to 1392 of the family's 1533-position model. The record is from RNAcentral.
GCUUAACGCGAAGAACCUUACCACCUUUUGACAUGCCCGGACCGCCACAGAGAUGUGGCUUUCCCUUCGGGGACUGGGACACAGGUGCUGCAUGGCUGCCGUCAGCUCGUGUCGUGAGAUGUUGGGUUAAGUCCCGCAACGAGCGCAACCCUCGCCAUUAGUUGCCAUCAUUCAGUUGGGCACUCUAAUGGGACUGCCGGUGCUAAGCCGGAGGAAGGUGGGGAUGACGUCAAGUCCUCAUGGCCCUUACAGGGUGGGCUACACACGUGCUACAAUGGCGACCACAGAGGGCUGCAAACCAGCGAUGGUGAGCCAAUCCCUAAAAGUCGUCUCAGUUCGGAUUGUUCUCUGCAACUCGAGAGCAUGAAGUUGGAAUCGCUAGUAAUCGCGGAUCAGCAUGCCGCGGUGAAUACGUUCCCGGGUCUUGUACACACCG